CCGUUGCAAGCCCGUGAUCCGCUGGGUCCGCACCCCCCAGGGCGGGGCCGCGGCUGUCACCUCCGGCACGGUGAGGUGAGGACACCGAGCUCAGGGCGCCUGUGAAAGGGUCCCCUCUUGACCUUGCCUCAGCCUUGCCCCGGGAGCGCGGCCACACGGACAGCAGGGGCUCCCUGGCAAAGGCCCUUGGGCCGGGUCACACCCACAGGCGCGCAGAGGGGAAGGACAUGCCCGCUUGAGGGGGGCAGAAACCGGGCCCCGAAGAAGGAGCCGCAGGCUCAGAGCUGGGAUCGUGCAGGUGCUGGGGCCAUGGCGGCCGGGCACACACAAGGACACCGCGGUAGAGACGCCGUGCACACAGGGCCGCGGGCCUGGCCGUCUGGAGCCCGAGGGGAGCCGGUCACCCCUCUGCUCAGAACCCUGACAGCUCCCUAUCUACUCAGCAUAAAGGCCAGAGGCUUCCAGGUAACUCAGAGGCUCAGGGUGAUGCGCCUUUGCUGCCUGCACAUCGCCCCUCUCAGCGGUCACUCACUCUCCUUGGACCACCCUGGCUCUUGGCUGUUCCUGGAAGGCACAGGCACCCCAGGGCCUUUGAACCUGCUGUUCCUUCUGCCCUGUAUGCUCUUCCUCCCACAUAUCGCCAGGGCUGCCUCCCUUACCUCUUUCAUGUCUUCCGCCGAAUGUCAGCUUCAUAUGAGAUCUCCCCUGGUCCUGCUCUAAAAUUUCAAAACUCCUCCCCGAAGGGUGCCUGUUCUCCUCUCCUAAUUAACCAUCUCCGUCUUCAUUGCCAUCUAACACCACACACAUUAUUAGUUUGCCCCAUCUCCUGUCUGUCUUCUCAACAAGAACCCAAGCUCCCGAAGGGUAACAACUUUAUCUUCUUCACUGCUGUCUUCGGGGCAGGAAGGGAGAAGGCUGUCAGUGACAUCUGUGGGCAGAGGGCACGGCCACUCGCCUGGGUGAGGCUGCCUCUGUGGCCUUGGCUCAGCCUCCAGGUGACCUUGAGCAAGUCACUGUCCCUGCUGAGGGCUUCCGGACAGGACCCAGGCAAGGAAAUUGAGGCAGAAAGAGGACAAGCCGCUGUGCGAGGUCACCAGGAUGGCAGCCUGGUCCAGCUCCCUGGGUCUGAGUUCAGGGUUUACAAGCUUGGGCUGCUGCCUCUGCACACCAGUCCCGUGCUCCCCUCUACACACAUCCCCCGGCUGCCGCUGUGAAAGCCACCCUGGACACUAUGUUCCUCUGGGACCCUGAUGCCUGCAGGCCACCGAUGCCACAGGGAGCUGAAGGACCAUGGGGACCAACCGUGUCUAGAUUGUGAGGCCUCAUUAAAUGGGAUUUAUUUUAGGCUGGUAAAUUUUAGGGAGGUUUG
Long non-coding RNA from Heterocephalus glaber (naked mole-rat), 1369 nucleotides. NCBI's taxonomy places the organism in Eukaryota, Metazoa, Chordata, Mammalia, Rodentia, Bathyergidae. The record is from Ensembl.